GAUGAACGCUGGCUACAGGCUUAACACAUGCAAGUCGAGGGGAAACGACGGGGAAGCUUGCUUCCCCGGGCGUCGACCGGCGCACGGGUGAGUAACGCGUAUCCAACCUGCCUCUGACUGAGGGAUAACCCGUCGAAAGUCGGCCUAAUACCUCAUGGUAUCGUCUGCGGGCAUCCAACGACGAUUAAAGAUUUCAUCGGUCAGGGAUGGGGAUGCGUCUGAUUAGCUUGUUGGCGGGGUAACGGCCCACCAAGGCUACGAUCAGUAGGGGUUCUGAGAGGAAGGUCCCCCAGAUUGGAACUGAGACACGGUCCAAACUCCUACGGGAGGCAGCAGUGAGGAAUAUUGGUCAAUGGGCGAGAGCCUGAACCAGCCAAGUAGCGUGCAGGAAGACGGCCCUAUGGGUUGUAAACUGCUUUUAUGAGGGGAUAAAGUGAGGGACGUGUCCCUCAUUGCAGGUACCGCAUGAAUAAGGACCGGCUAAUUCCGUG
Molecule: ribosomal RNA, 491 nt
Filed under: uncultured bacterium
Lineage: Bacteria
Description: partial 16S ribosomal RNA
Rfam family: Bacterial small subunit ribosomal RNA
Source: RNAcentral